This 379-nucleotide ribosomal RNA is filed under the name uncultured eukaryote. RNAcentral describes it as "partial 18S ribosomal RNA". It matches the Rfam family "Eukaryotic small subunit ribosomal RNA", at positions 592 to 975 of the family's 1831-position model. The record is from RNAcentral.
CAAUAGCGUAUAUUAAAGUUGUUGCGGUUAAAAAGCUCGUAGUUGGAUUUCUGCUGAGAACGACCGGUCCGCCCUUUGGGUGUGUAUCUGGCUCUUUCUUGGCAUCUUCUUGGUGAACGUUGCUGCACUUGACUGUGUGGAGCGCUACCCAGGACUUUUACUUUGAGGAAAUUAGAGUGUUUCAAGCAGGCAUACGCCUUAAAUACAUUAGCAUGGAAUAAUAAGAUAGGACCUCGGUUCUAUUUUGUUGGUUUCUAGAGCUGAGGUAAUGAUUAAUAGGGAUAGUUGGGGGCAUUCGUAUUUAACUGUCAGAGGUGAAAUUCUUGGAUUUGUUAAAGACGGACUACUGCGAANGNAUUUGCNAAGGAUGUUUNCAUUG